CUUUCACGAGACAUCACGGAGACAUUUCUCCGUUAUGGGAACGAUAUUCAAUCCUGCCGUGAGAGAGGCUACGAGCAGCCUGUACAAAUAGUAUCUUCCUGCAC
Sinocyclocheilus anshuiensis is the source of this 104-nucleotide long non-coding RNA. RefSeq lists it as uncharacterized. The transcript has 3 exons. The record is from RefSeq and is a predicted model, not a curated record. NCBI's taxonomy places the organism in Eukaryota, Metazoa, Chordata, Actinopteri, Cypriniformes, Cyprinidae.